GUGUCAGCAGCCGCGGUAAUACGGAGGAUGCGAGCGUUAUCCGGAUUUAUUGGGUUUAAAGGGUGCGUAGGCGGGAGAUUAAGUCAGCGGUGAAAGUUUGAGGCUCAACCUUAAAAUUGCCGUUGAAACUGGUUUUCUUGAGUAUAUUUGAAGUAGGCGGAAUUCGUGGUGUAGCGGUGAAAUGCAUAGAUAUCACGAAGAACCCCAAUUGCGCAGGCAGCUUACUAAACUAUAACUGACGCUGAGGCACGAAAGCGUGGGUAUCAAACAGGAUUAGAUACCCUGGUAGUCC
Molecule: ribosomal RNA, 292 nt
Filed under: uncultured bacterium
Lineage: Bacteria
Description: partial 16S ribosomal RNA
Rfam family: Bacterial small subunit ribosomal RNA
Source: RNAcentral